CCUACGGGGGGCUGCAGUGGGGAAUAUUGGACAAUGGGCGAAAGCCUGAUCCAGCAAUGCCGCGUGAGUGAUGAAGGCCUUAGGGUUGUAAAGCUCUUUUACCCGGGAUGAUAAUGACAGUACCGGGAGAAUAAGCUCCGGCUAACUCCGUGCCAGCAGCCGCGGUAAUACGGAGGGAGCUAGCGUUGUUCGGAAUUACUGGGCGUAAAGCGCACGUAGGCGGCUUUGUAAGUCAGAGGUGAAAGCCUGGAGCUCAACUCCAGAACUGCCUUUGAGACUGCAUCGCUUGAAUCCAGGAGAGGUGAGUGGAAUUCCGAGUGUAGAGGUGAAAUUCGUAGAUAUUCGGAAGAACACCAGUGGCGAAGGCGGCUCACUGGACUGGUAUUGACGCUGAGGUGCGAAAGCGUGGGGAGCAAACAGGAUUAGAUACCCCAGUAGUC
This 440-nucleotide ribosomal RNA is filed under the name uncultured Sphingomonas sp. RNAcentral's name for it is "bacterial SSU rRNA". It matches the Rfam family "Bacterial small subunit ribosomal RNA", at positions 338 to 795 of the family's 1533-position model. The record is from RNAcentral. Lineage: Bacteria; Pseudomonadati; Pseudomonadota; Alphaproteobacteria; Sphingomonadales; Sphingomonadaceae.